This 599-nucleotide long non-coding RNA is filed under the name Triticum aestivum (bread wheat). RNAcentral describes it as "long non-coding RNA (TAES_LNC000596)". Lineage: Eukaryota; Viridiplantae; Streptophyta; Magnoliopsida; Poales; Poaceae. The record is from RNAcentral.
AGGAGAUUGGGAAUGAGACACACACAAAAGAAUCUUCAAGAGUUUGGAGGGAGGAUAAGAGCAGAAACAGUACUAGCUGUAUGGUCCAUGACAAUAUGUGAACACUCCAAUUUAUUGUUCUUAUUCAGUAAAGCUCAUCGUGAUCAUGUUAAUGCUAAUCAUGUACUGGAAAUUCCGGUAAAAAAGGAAUGUAGGGUAAGUUCAAUCAUUCUUCUGUUUCUAUACUCAACUUGAAGAGCCAACAUAUUCUACCAUGUCAAAUAAUGAUAAUUGUGCUGGUUUAAACAAAUAUCAUAUCUGGCCGUGACAGGUUGCUAUUCUUAUCUGAAUUUGACCCUUCAACCUUUCUACCUUAUAAUUAACACGUUUAUGUCAUAAUUGCCUCCAAUAAGCAGCCACAAGAGCCAUCCCCAAUUGAGCAUAUAAAAAGAAGAAUUGAACUUCCACUGUGCAAUCAAAGUCAUGGUCUCAAAAUGACAAAUUAGCUGAUCUAAAACAAACUCUAGUAGUGACCGGUUGUUAAUUUAUUAUAUCCUGAUGUGAAUUUGACCUAAUCUUUCAUGCAACCUUCCUAUUAGCAGCCCCUGAGAUUGAUAAGC